UUUCCGUAGGUGAACCUGCGGAAGGAUCAUUAUUGUAUAACCGAGGUGCGAGGGCUGUCGCUGACCCGAAAGGUCGUGCACGCCCGAGUGCCCUCACACACAUCCAUCUCACCCCUAUGUGCACCACCGCGUGGGUCCCCCUUUGGCUUGUUCGGAGGGGGGCUUACGCUUUCACACAAACUUUGUAUGCAGUGUACAAUGUAUUUUUUGUUUUUGCGAUCACGCAAUCAAUACAACUUUCAACAACGGAUCUCUUGGCUCUC
This 263-nucleotide unclassified non-coding RNA is filed under the name plant metagenome. RNAcentral describes it as "partial contains small subunit ribosomal RNA, internal transcribed spacer 1, and 5.8S ribosomal RNA". The record is from RNAcentral.